RNAcentral lists this ribosomal RNA (253 nucleotides) under uncultured bacterium. Its description in RNAcentral is "partial 16S ribosomal RNA". It matches the Rfam family "Bacterial small subunit ribosomal RNA", at positions 524 to 776 of the family's 1533-position model. The record is from RNAcentral.
UACAGAGGGGGCAAGCGUUGUUCGGAAUUACUGGGCGUAAAGGGCGCGUAGGCGGCCCGCUAAGUCGAACGUGAAAUCCCUGGGCUCAACCCAGGAACUGCGUCCGAUACUGGCAGGCUUGAAUCCGGGAGAGGGAUGCGGAAUUCCUGGUGUAGCGGUGAAAUGCGCAGAUAUCAGGAGGAACACCGAUUGCGAAGGCAGCUCGCUGGGACGUUACUGACGCUGAGACGCGAAAGCGUGGGGAGCAAACAGG